Molecule: non-coding RNA, 2074 nt
Organism: Coturnix japonica (Japanese quail)
Lineage: Eukaryota; Metazoa; Chordata; Aves; Galliformes; Phasianidae
Source: RefSeq, a predicted model, not a curated record
GCACAGCACCACGCCGUCCUUCAGGGAGGACUGCAGGAAGCCCUCGGGGUCGGCGAUGCUCUUCUUGGGCGACUCCAGCACGCCCAGGGCGAUCAGCCACGUAACGGGCAAUGAAGGCAACUCACAGUGUUAUAUCCUUGCAGCAUUUGUCACUUUUACCCCGGCUGUGUUCUUUGGAUGGAAGUGCCCUCAGAGAGCUCUGGCAGAAACCAAUAAUGAGCAUUCUGCUUGAGGCGGAGAUGAAUAUAGAAGCACAGUCCUCGCCUGGUCUACAUCACGUGUGACAGAUGAAGGGUAGAGCUGGGGAAGGAAGAAUGGAAAAGGACAACAGUCACAUGGGGCUCCCUCUGCAGAAAGAAAUCUAUUUUGAUUGGCGUUUUGGAAGUGUUUUAUUCACACUUAAUGAAGACCAGGAAAGAAAUGAAGAAUGAGAACAGGAUGGCUAGGAAUCAACGCGGCUACAAAUGAUCGAAGAGGUCCUGAGUUCCAAUUAAACACGAUUCAAGAAUCUCAGAUUAUUUUUAGUGUGUAUUUACUACAAUUUACCCCGUGUUCUGUUAGCACGGGAUGCAGUAAGCACCUUCAUAAUGCCCUAGUCUGGGUGGCAGUGAAUUGGUGGUUCCCCUGGGGGAGGUGCUGGGGGCAGGGAAGUUGGCAGUGCCUCCAGGUCCCAACACACUCCUGUGAGCUGCAGGGGCAGGUCUUGUCCAGGAGCAGCUGUCACUGCUCCAUCGAGCUGAUGAGCCUGUGACAACAGUAAGGAACAAGCCCUAAAACUCUGGCUGCGAACACUGAUUACAGAGCGCUGAUGUGACCAUCCGCAAGAAGAGGAUUCUAAGAUAUGCCUGAUGGGGAAUUGGGACAGAGUAAGGGCGAGUGUUUUGCAGAGUCAUUGGCAAAAUCUCAUUUAGACUGCAGCGUAGAGACUUGGCCAGCUGUGCUCAGGAAAUCUCACUGGAACAGAAUCCUUAAAAGCGUGGCAGUGAUCUGAGAGCUUGGCUCAUUCCAUCUGGCAAAGCAAAGCCUGGAGGAGGAGAUAGGACCACUGUGAGUAAAUGUCACAGGUAGACAGCUUAAGGACAAUGCUAUCACAAAAAUAAGUGCAUAUAAACACUCAGAACCACACUCAAAGCCCUCCUCCUCUCAGAGAGAAUGCUAGUGACAUUCGUUCAGCAUCACAUGGAGAAUUCACUUAGCAAACUGGGUUAAUGGAAGAAAAUCUCUGAGCUAUAGCACCUCUGGGCCAGAAGCUACACAUGGUGGCCCUUGAGUCUCUUUUGUAGGGUCCCUUUCUACAAGUGCUUUUCAGUUUUAUGGAAGUUUGCCACAGACCUCUGCCAGCUUAUGCUUGUUCAUGGUGUGGUAACCCUUCCAGACUUCAAGUGCAGUGCAAACAGGAGGUAGAAAGAAGGUGAAACCAGAUCAUUUGGUGGGGUUGAACAGCUGGAGAGGUUUGGAAGGGAUCCUGAUUUACAACUGCGUGAGUCCUCAGCACAUAGGGAAUGUCUGACACAGCCAUAAACCUGGAUCAGCCCAGGUUUGCAUGGCAAAUCACCAUCUCUAUCUGGCAGUGCAAGCGUUACCCUCUGCCAGUCCUUCUCACUGUUUUUGGGUGCAGGGGUUGUGCUGCUGGCCCCAUACAGCACAGCUCAGUGCAAGCAGCUGUCGGCUUCACCAGGCUUGUAAGUGCUCCCUGGGUUAUUUUUGCAACAUACCACGUGAGUUUAUGGGGUUUUUAUUUUUAGUCCCACAGUAUGAUUUGUUGACGAUGUGUAUUUUGCAUGCAGUUGGGAUUGAAGCACCAAGGUGAUAGAGGCCAUUUAAUGAUCUGCCGAUAUAUGUUGCAGUCAAUAAACAUUACAGUCAAUAAAAGUCAUCAUUUGCCUUACAGUCAGCAUCUGUACCCUUUCAGCCCUCGUGAUCACAUAUUUAUAUCAUAUCCAUUUAGGCUGUAGUUUGCUGUAUCACUGCUGUUUCACCUCAGACUUGCUCCUGUCACUCUCAGCCAGCAGCAUCAAGUUCCCCAAGUUCUCCUUUUGAAAGAAACCUAAUGGAAAACAAACCAUUCCUGCAG